CAUGAAAUAAGUAUUCAGGUAUACAGAGACGGUGUGUUUUAUACAGAACUUACAAAUGAUGCUAUUUAUAACUAUGACAGUCCUGUAGAGAACAAAUACCUGCUUUCUGCUUGUCGAUAUUAUGAAUUUUUCAGCGUAUGGAAUGAUAUAAAAAAGCUGAACACGUGAUAUCUCGUUUCUGAUAGUUUGAAUUACUAGUGAUUAAAUACUUGCAUUCUUGUAGAUGAAAUGCAAAUUAGGUCUAGUAGACAAAUUUCCCUUGAUUUAUUAUUUUUAAAGAAGGCUGUUUUCAAACAGUCUAUCAAAUCUUGACCUAACUGCACACUUUCACAGCGUCAUGUGUGUAUAUUGAGGUUCUUACAAUAUUAUGGCGUAUUUGUAACAAUAUGAGCGAACUAAAUGUGGUUAAAUAGAAAGAUGAAGAUUGCAACAGAAGAGUAUAUGUACAAAAAAUGUAUACGAAUAACAUUCUUAAACAAAACCAAAAUUCAAAUUGAAGUAAAGUGAUAUACCGGUAUAAUUUAUCAAGCACAAAUUAAAAUGUUUUGAUUAAAGAUCUCCGCGAUGUCAACUUUCACCAAAUCAUUUUAAGUGUGCAUAAUUGGCCCAUCUAUCUACAAAGAAGUUAUAGAACAGGUUUUGUAUCAAAUAUGAAUGGACGAAGCAGUGCUUUGUGAAGUAUUCACGUCACAAUUAACAUGAAAUUCAUCUUCAUCAAGUUACAAUUAAAAGUGGUCAAUGUUAUCGUAAAAUAAACUUUCCUCCAUAUACUUAUUUUCUGAAUGGGCAAUGUUUUAGUAUUUGACCAAAAUUAUUAGAGUUUGGAUACCAGUAGAAAAGUAAAGGGCAUCAUAUUCGCUACCACAUAAGAAAUUUGGAUUUUUUAUAGUGUAUUCUUAUCUUGACAAAUGAUAUAACUCGAAUGGACUCGCUUUACAGCUUGACAUAUUUUGUUUAUAUCUGUCUAAUGACUGCAUAAUACUCUCUAUUCGUCUUUUGGUUUAUUGUGUAGAUGGGUUGUCUCAUGGACGUAUUUUCUACAUCACCCUCUUUCAUGUUUGUAGUAAUGAUGAAAAAAGAACUCACCAAAGA
Molecule: long non-coding RNA, 1092 nt
Organism: Mytilus californianus (California mussel)
Lineage: Eukaryota; Metazoa; Mollusca; Bivalvia; Mytilida; Mytilidae
Exons: 2
Source: RefSeq, a predicted model, not a curated record